CUACGGGAGGCUGCAGUGGGGAAUAUUGCACAAUGGGCGAAAGCCUGAUGCAGCGACGCCGCGUGGAGGAUGACGGUCUUUGGAUUGUAAACUCCUGUUAAAUGGAAAGAAAUCUUUGCGAGUAAUAUGCGCAGAGGAUGACGGUACCAUUAGAGAAAGCUCCGGCUAACUUCGUGCCAGCAGCCGCGGUAAUACGAGGGGAGCAAGCGUUAUUCGGAAUCACUGGGCGUAAAGGGCGUGUAGGCGGUUAGCUAAGUCAGGUGUUAAAUCUCCCGGCUCAACCGGGAGCAGGCAAUUGAUACUGGCUGGCUAGAGCGCAGAAGAGAGAAGUGGAAUUAUCGGAGUAGCGGUAAAAUGCGUAGAUCUCGAUAGGAACACCAAUUGCGAAGGCAGCUUCUUGGUCUGUAGCUGACGCUGAGACACGAAAGCGUGGGGAGCAAACAGGAUUAGAUACCCCAGUAGUC
RNAcentral lists this ribosomal RNA (464 nucleotides) under uncultured bacterium. RNAcentral describes it as "partial 16S ribosomal RNA". It matches the Rfam family "Bacterial small subunit ribosomal RNA", at positions 339 to 795 of the family's 1533-position model. The record is from RNAcentral.